UACCUGCAGCCCAAGUGGUGGUCGAUUUUAUUGAGUCUAAAGCGUUCGUAGCCGGUUUGAUAAAUCCUUGGGUAAAUCGGGAAGCUUAACUUUCCGACUUCCGAGGAGACUGUCAGACUUGGGACCGGGAGAGGCUAGAGGUACUUCUGGGGUAGGGGUAAAAUCCUGUAAUCCUAGAAGGACCACCGGUGGCGAAGGCGUCUAGCUAGAACGGAUCCGACGGUGAGGGACGAAGCCCUGGGUCGCAAACGGGAUUAGAUACCCCGGUAGUCCAGGGUGUAAACGCUGCCGACUUGGUGUUGGAGGCCCUUCGGGGGCAUUCAGUGCCGGAGAGAAGUUGUUAAGUCGGCCACUUGGGGAGUACGUCCGCAAGGAUGAAACUUAA
RNAcentral lists this ribosomal RNA (385 nucleotides) under uncultured methanogenic archaeon. RNAcentral's name for it is "bacterial SSU rRNA". It matches the Rfam family "Archaeal small subunit ribosomal RNA", at positions 474 to 859 of the family's 1478-position model. Lineage: Archaea; Methanobacteriati; Methanobacteriota. The record is from RNAcentral.